GAUGAACGCUGGCGGCGUGCCUAAUACAUGCAAGUCGAGCGAACAGCCGAGGAGCUUGCUCAUCUGACGUUAGCGGCGGACGGGUGAGUAACACGUGGAUAACCUACCUAUAAGACUCGGAUAACUUCGGGAAACCGGAGCUAUUACCGGAUAAUAUAUUGAACCGCAUGGUUCAAUAGUGAAAGACGGUUUUGCUGUCACUCAUAGAUUGAUCCGCGCCGCAUUAGCUAGUUGGUAAGGUAACGGCUUACCAAGGCGACGAUGCGUAGACGACCUGUGAGGAGGGUCGGCCACACUGGAACUGAAACACGGUCCAGACUCGUACGGGAGGCAGCAGAAGGGAAUCGACCGCAAUGGGAGAAAGGCUGACGGAACAACGCCGCGUGGGUGAUAAAGAUAUUCGGAUCGUAAAACUCUGUUAUUAGGGAAGAACAAAUAUGUAAGGAACUAGGCACGUCUUGACGGUACCUAAUCAGAAAGCCACGGCUAACUACGUG
RNAcentral lists this ribosomal RNA (497 nucleotides) under uncultured bacterium. Its description in RNAcentral is "partial 16S ribosomal RNA". It matches the Rfam family "Bacterial small subunit ribosomal RNA", at positions 28 to 507 of the family's 1533-position model. The record is from RNAcentral.